RNAcentral lists this ribosomal RNA (411 nucleotides) under uncultured microorganism. RNAcentral describes it as "bacterial SSU rRNA". It matches the Rfam family "Bacterial small subunit ribosomal RNA", at positions 9 to 417 of the family's 1533-position model. The record is from RNAcentral.
GAGUUUGAUCAUGGCUCAGAUUGAACGCUGGCGGCAUGCCUUACACAUGCAAGUCGAACGGCAGCAUGAUCUAGCUUGCUAGAUUGAUGGCGAGUGGCGAACGGGUGAGUAAUACAUCGGAACGUGCCCUGUAGUGGGUGAUAACUAGUCGAAAGAUUAGCUAAUACCGCAUACGACCUGAGGGUGAAAGUGGGGGACCGCAAGGCCUCAUGCUAUAGGAGCGGCCGAUGUCUGAUUAGCUAGUUGGUGGGGUAAAGGCCCACCAAGGCGACGAUCAGUAGCUGGUCUGAGAGGACGAUCAGCCACACUGGGACUGAGACACGGCCCAGACUCCUACGGGAGGCAGCAGUGGGGAAUUUUGGACAAUGGGCGAAAGCCUGAUCCAGCAAUGCCGCGUGUGUGAGAAGGCCU